Molecule: long non-coding RNA, 190 nt
Organism: Alosa sapidissima (American shad)
Lineage: Eukaryota; Metazoa; Chordata; Actinopteri; Clupeiformes; Clupeidae
Exons: 2
Source: RefSeq, a predicted model, not a curated record
UUGAAAGACAACUGAUUAUCCCGCCCCUCGGACUGAGCACUGCGAACGGUCCCUAAACAAUGUGAGGACAACCCAGAGGGAGCGGGAGGAAGACUAUACUACGAUACUCUCUAUAUUGGAGACAUCGGUCCUUGAAUGUGAUACAACUGUGGUGCCAUAAUAAAAGAAAAUAAAAGAUUUCCUUUUUAAA